GGGAAACAUGGAGAGCAACAGGCAAAGAAACAGGACCAGUUGCCAAGUUCAGCUCCCUCCUCCGGGACCCCCGAGCAGAGGAAAAAGGUUUCUAGGAGCCUUGGAUGGAGUCCUGCAGUGCUUUUCUUGGCAGAAGAACAUGCCAGCCAUCUGCAACCCAGAGCUGCCAGGAGGCACCUGCCAGACACUGAACGGCAUCCGGGUCCUGAGUCUCCUCUGGAUUAUCUCGGGGCACACCAGUCAGAUGACCGCUUGGCUCUCUUUGGAUAAUGUGCUUGAAUGGAAAGCCAGAGUGCCCAAGAACCCGCUGUACCUCUACUCUCGGAGUGGCCCGUUCUACCUCGGGGUGGAUACAUUUUUCCUGAUCAGGUGAUGAGGUUGAAAUGUUGUCUCUGCUGUUACCUUGUUAAAAGAUGUGUGGGUAGAGCGGAGGGCUAUCAGUCCUAGCUUCCUAAG
This 456-nucleotide long non-coding RNA is filed under the name Rattus norvegicus (Norway rat). Its description in RNAcentral is "long non-coding RNA NONRATT013524". Lineage: Eukaryota; Metazoa; Chordata; Mammalia; Rodentia; Muridae. The record is from RNAcentral.